This 882-nucleotide ribosomal RNA is filed under the name uncultured bacterium. RNAcentral's name for it is "bacterial SSU rRNA". It matches the Rfam family "Bacterial small subunit ribosomal RNA", at positions 56 to 935 of the family's 1533-position model. The record is from RNAcentral.
UGCAAGUCGAACGCGCAGUUUUCUGUAGCAAUACAGGAAGCGGGCGCGUGGCGAACGGGUGCGUAACACGUGGGUAACCUACCCCCGAGUGGGGAAUAACCCCGCGAAAGCGGGGCUAAUACCGCAUAACAUUCCGAUGCCGCAUGGUAUUGGGAUCAAAGCCCGCAAGGGCGCUGGAGGAGGGGCCCGCGGCCGAUUAGCUUGUUGGCGAGGUAAUGGCUCACCAAGGCGAUGAUCGGUAGCCGGUCUGAGAGGAUGGCCGGUCACACUGGAACUGAGACACGGUCCAGACUCCUACGGGAGGCAGCAGUGGGGAAUCUUGCGCAAUGGGCGAAAGCCUGACGCAGCGACGCCGCGUGGGGGAUGAAGCCCUUCGGGGUGUAAACCCCUUUCGACCCGGACGAAACCCCGCAAGGGAUUGACGGUACGGGGAGAAGAAGCCCCGGCUAACUACGUGCCAGCAGCCGCGGUAAAACGUAGGGGGCCAGCGUUGCUCGGAAUUAUUGGGCGUAAAGGGUCCGUAGGCGGUGUGGCAAGUCGGAAGUGAAAUCCUGGGGCUUAACUCCAGGGCUGCUCCCGAAACUGCCGCGCUAGAGUGUGGGACAGGCGAGUGGAAUUGCAGGUGUAGCGGUGAAAUGCGUAGAUAUCUGCAGGAACACCAGAGGCGAAAGCGGCUCGCUGGACCACAACUGACGCUGAGGGACGAAAGCUAGGGGAGCAAACAGGAUUAGAUACCCUGGUAGUCCUAGCCCUAAACGAUCAGGACUGGGCGUGAGUACCGUUUGGUACUCGUGCCGGACUAACGCGUUAAGUCCUGCGCCUGGGGAGUACGGUCGCAAGCUGAAACUCAAAGGAAUUGACGGGGGCCCGCACAAGCGGUGG